Molecule: ribosomal RNA, 245 nt
Filed under: uncultured bacterium
Lineage: Bacteria
Description: partial 16S ribosomal RNA
Rfam family: Bacterial small subunit ribosomal RNA
Source: RNAcentral
CGUAGGUAACCUGCCCCGGAGCGGGGGAUAACAUUUGGAAACAGAUGCUAAUACCGCAUAACAAUAAAAGCCGCAUGGCUUUUAUUUGAAAGAUGGCUUUGGCUAUCACUCUGGGAUGGACCUGCGGUGCAUUAGCUAGUUGGUAAGGUAACGGCUUACCAAGGCGAUGAUGCAUAGCCGAGUUGAGAGACUGAUCGGCCACAAUGGAACUGAGACACGGUCCAUACUCCUACGGGAGGCAGCAG